RNAcentral lists this long non-coding RNA (367 nucleotides) under Phasianus colchicus (ring-necked pheasant). Its description in RNAcentral is "lncRNA (ENSPCLG00000002298.1)". Lineage: Eukaryota; Metazoa; Chordata; Aves; Galliformes; Phasianidae. The record is from RNAcentral.
AGCUGAUUCAAUCUAUAAUGAUAACAGAGAAGUCUGCUGCACAUUAAAUACUACUGAAGUUGCUAAGACGAGAUAUACUUAUGCCUAUAAGAACAAUGUGAUACUUGCCAUUUUUCUUAAAAUCUUACAUCUGAAGAAACUGAUGAGUCAACCACAGCCACAAGCACUUCUGUCUUUAUUCCUGAUGUUACAUCUUCAAGUACCGAUGACAUUCUGGAACAUGAGGAAAAACAACAUUCAAGCAAUAAGACUAUAAUCUCCAUUCUGCUGUCCACUGAAAUUGAGUUUCUUGAAGUCUAUGGAGGGAGGAGGGACUGAAUGUAUUUUUAACCCAACAGAAUAAAUGAAGUUCCAAGGAGCUUCUGCA